AGUGAACGCUGGCGGUAGGCCUAACACAUGCCAGUCGAACGGCAGCACAGUAAGAGCUUGCUCUUACGGGUGGCGAGUGGCGGACGGGUGAGGAAUACAUCGGAAUCUACUUUUUCGUGGGGGAUAACGUAGGGAAACUUACGCUAAUACCGCAUACGACCUACGGGUGAAAGCAGGGGAUCUUCGGACCUUGCGCGAUGGAUUGGGCCGUUGUGGGAUUAGCUAGUUGGCGGGGUAAAGGCCCACAAAGGCGACGCUCCGUAGCUGGUCUGAGAGGAUGAUCAGCCACACUGGAACUGAGACACGGUCCAGACGCCUACGGGAGGCAGCAGUGGGGAAUAUUGGACAAUGGGCGCAAGCCUGAUCCAGCCAUACCGCGUGGGUGAAGAAGGCCUUCGGGUUGUAAAGCCCUUUUGUUGGGAAAGAAAAGCAGCAGGUUAAUACCCCGCUGUUCUGACGGUACCCAAAGAAUAAGCACCGGCUAACUUCGUG
Molecule: ribosomal RNA, 492 nt
Filed under: uncultured bacterium
Lineage: Bacteria
Description: partial 16S ribosomal RNA
Rfam family: Bacterial small subunit ribosomal RNA
Source: RNAcentral